RNAcentral lists this ribosomal RNA (273 nucleotides) under uncultured bacterium. Its description in RNAcentral is "partial 16S ribosomal RNA". It matches the Rfam family "Bacterial small subunit ribosomal RNA", at positions 524 to 796 of the family's 1533-position model. The record is from RNAcentral.
UACAGAGGGUGCAAACGUUGUUCGGAUUUACUGGGCGUAAAGCGCGUGUAGGCGGCUACGUGUGUCGGGCGUGAAAGCCCACGGCUCAACCGUGGAAGUGCACCCGAAACUGCGUAGCUAGAGUCCUGGAGAGGAAGGUGGAAUGCUUGGUGUAGAGGUGAAAUUCGUAGAUAUCAAGCGGAACACCGGUGGCGAAGGCGGCCUUCUGGACAGUGACUGACGCUGAGACGCGAAAGCGUGGGGAGCAAACAGGAUUAGAAACCCCCGUAGUCC